AGCGAACGCUGGCGGCAGGCCUAACACAUGCAAGUCGAACGAACCUUUCGGGGUUAGUGGCGGACGGGUGAGUAACACGUGGGAACGUGCCUUUAGGUUCGGAAUAACUCAGGGAAACUUGUGCUAAUACCGAAUGUGCCCUUCGGGGGAAAGAUUAAUCGCCUUUAGAGCGGCCCGCGUCUGAUUAGCUAGUUGGUUGAGGUAAUGGCUCACCAAGGCGACGAUCAGUAGCUGGUCUGAGAGGAUGAUCAGCCACAUUGGGACUGAGACACGGCCCAAACUCCUACGGGAGGAAGCAGUGGGGAAUCUUGCGCAAUGGGCGAAAGACUGACGCAGCCAUGCCGCGUGAAUGAUGAAGGUCUUAGGAUUGUAAAAUUCUUUCACCGGGGACGAUAAUGACGGUACCCGGAGAAGAAGCCCCGGCUAACUUCGUG
Molecule: ribosomal RNA, 434 nt
Filed under: uncultured bacterium
Lineage: Bacteria
Description: partial 16S ribosomal RNA
Rfam family: Bacterial small subunit ribosomal RNA
Source: RNAcentral